AUGCUAGGACAAUGGGAUAUUGAUCAGGCCAUAUGUGUGUCUCAUACAAGCAAAGAGAACACUGUCUUGAGGUCAGGGAUAUCUCCGGACAAAGUUUUCAUGGUUCCCAAUGCAGUGGAUACUGCAAUGUUUACUCCCUCCUCCAACCGCUUAAGCUGUGAUGAAAUCAUUAUUGUUGUGAUAAGUAGAUUGGUAUAUCGAAAAGGUGCUGACCUUCUUGUUGAAGUCAUUCCAGAAGUAUGCCGUCUAUUUCCAAAGGUUCGCUUUAUUGUUGGAGGUGAUGGUCCAAAACGUGUGCGGCUUGAAGAGAUGAGGGAGAAGUUCUCCCUUCAGGAUAGAGUUGAGAUGUUAGGGGCUGUACCUCAUGCUCAAGUACGAUCUGUUCUGAUAUCCGGUCAUAUAUUUCUGAACAGUUCGCUUACAGAAGCAUUUUGCAUAGCCAUUCUGGAAGCAGCAAGCUGUGGGCUUUUGACAGUAAGCACUAGAGUCGGAGGGGUUCCAGAGGUUCUACCAGAUGACAUGAUAGUACUUGCAGAACCAGAUCCAGAAGAUAUGGUACGGGCUGUGAGGCAAGCUAUCGACAUACUUCCUGGUAUAGAUCCCCAAAUUAUGCAUCGCCGGAUGAAAAAACUCUACAGUUGGGAUGAUGUGGCCAAAAGAACAGAGAUUGUCUACGAUCGUGCAAUGCAGUCAUCAAACACUAAUUUGCUAGAUCGUCUUCCUCGAUAUCUCACAUGUGGAGCUUGGGCAGGCAAGCUGUUUUGCCUCGUUAUGAUCAUAAAUUACCUUGUGUGGUGCCUUCUAGAAUUCCUGCAGCCUGCUGAAGGUAUUGAAGAAGUCCCAGAUAUAGGGCCACUGCACAUUCAUUCGGAUUCAGUAGAUGACCAGUGCGAAGCGCAACGAAAUUGA
This 909-nucleotide ribosomal RNA is filed under the name Triticum aestivum (bread wheat). RNAcentral describes it as "partial small subunit ribosomal RNA". The record is from RNAcentral. Lineage: Eukaryota; Viridiplantae; Streptophyta; Magnoliopsida; Poales; Poaceae.